UUAAAGUAACAGCUAUUUGUUACUCUGUAAAUAUGUACAGAACUUUAUUUAUUUAUUAGAUUUUGACAUACACAUUGAAGGUAUACUUGUACUUUUGAAGUAUUGUUUGUGAAAUAGGAAAAAUAAGAUUUUUACUGUGAAUUUUCUUAUUAUGUCAAUAGAAAUCAUUGGACUUUUUCAUAGGCUGAUUUUGAUUUAUACAGCAUCACAUAAUUUCUACCUUACAUUUUACUCUUUUACUAAUUAUGAAGACUUUUUCAAUUAAAAGUAACAUUUUUGAUGUUCCUUGCACAUACAACUCAUUACAGGGAGGUAAUUUAAUUUCUAUUGGAAAAUAAAUAAAUUUGUUUCCCCCUUUUCAAAAAGAAAAUUUCCAUCCACAGUUAUAGUUUGUUAAGUUUGCAAUAAUAUUAAUGUGCUUAAGAUAACAACUAAAAUUAUUGAACUUCAUUCAUUAGAUUAUUUUUUUCUAGUCUUUUUCAUCAGUUUGACUUUAAAAGGUCUGGGAUUAAUACAUGAAUUUUUUAGACCAAGGAAAUGUUAAGCAUACACUUGUAUCAUAUAUGGAAUGACUGUAAUAUUUGUUCUGUCAAUGAAGAAAUAAAAUAAAAAAUUUGGUACACACUGAAUAACCCUUGUAGUGGGUUAUUUUAAAGUGCGCACCACAUUUUUUUAUGUUAUUUUGUAUAGACAGAAAAAAUGUUUCAGUCAAUCCUUAUUAUUCAAUUUAAAAUUCCAUUUCAAGCCAGAAUAAAUCAUGAAAAAACAAUGAUGACGUCACGGUCACAUGACAAAAUUAUGUCUAUGAGCUGAUAGACAAUACACUGUCAGCCAAUCAGAAGACGUGUUACAUCAAAAAUUAAAUUAUAAACCAAUGUCUUCUCAUCAGGAGUGUUCAGAUUGGUUUUAAAGAUAUGAUUUAUAUUACAAGUUUGAGGUCAUCAUCCAGUUGUGUGUUAUAACAUAAAUGUACUGAAUUUAAUAAUGAUUUAGUUUUGUUGUCACUAUUUGAAUGAUCUACUUUUGUUUCAUUACCACAUGUUAAUCCUUCAAUUCUCAUUGUUAUAGUGAUAUUAUAUAUAUUUCAAAUGGAAAGUACUAGAUCUCGAAUUAACUUAUCUUCGUUUGGAGUGUUAAUCUGAUUUGUUUUUGCAAAAUCGUUAUACAUUGCUUGUUAGAUCAUAGAUGGUGCUAUAGUACAUUAA
Molecule: long non-coding RNA, 1205 nt
Filed under: Mytilus galloprovincialis (Mediterranean mussel)
Lineage: Eukaryota; Metazoa; Mollusca; Bivalvia; Mytilida; Mytilidae
Source: RNAcentral